RNA transcript from Salvelinus fontinalis (brook trout), 12567 nucleotides. It is a transcript of the gene named limb region 1 homolog-like protein, with no coding region annotated. The record is from RefSeq and is a predicted model, not a curated record. The transcript has 6 exons. NCBI's taxonomy places the organism in Eukaryota, Metazoa, Chordata, Actinopteri, Salmoniformes, Salmonidae.
AUGAAUACGUCUCAUUGGACAGCCAGUGAAAAAUGCGCUCUUUUUUAAAUUUAACCUUUAUUUAACUAGGCGAGUGUGUUAAGAAUACAUUCUUAUAAUGACGGACUACCCCGGCGACCCUGUGCCAAUUGUGCACUGCCCUAUGGGUCUCCCAAUCACGGUCGGAUGUGAUACAGCCUGGAAUCGAACUAGGGACUGUAGUGACGCCUCUUGCCCUGAGACGCAGUGCCUUAGACCUCAGCGCCACUCGGGAGCAUUACAUCAAAUGUGAAAAUAUCUGAUAAGAUAUUAGGAACAUGAUCAAGUUGCUGAUCAUAUGAAUGUUGCUUGAAUAAUCUUCAUCGAACAAACAAUGUCGAACCAAAAAUGAAAUGUAUUUUGUACCAGCAAUUUUUGCUGACAUCACACCGCGUCAACUGCAUCCCCUCGCCGCUUUGUACAGCGGCACUGUUCCCACAAGAGCUUAGCGGCAGCGAGACGACUCAUUUGCAUAGCAUCAGUCAGCCUAGGAACAAGGACAAGCUGAGCUGCUGCGCUUGUCUGACGAAGCAGCAACAAGAACCAGAAAAAUAUACAUUUGAGCACCAUAAAUGGCGGUCAAUCCGCGAUAUGGUUGUCGGAGCAUGGAAGCUCCAGAAGAUGUGUCGGUCCGUGAACAGCUUUUCCACGACCGAGUCAGAGAGACCAUAGACCUGAGCCCUAGGACAAUGCCUCAGGACUACCUGGCAUGAUGACUCCUUGCUGUCCCCAGUCCACCUGGCCACGCUGCUGCUCCAGUUUCAACUGUUCUCCCUGCGGCUAUGGAACCCUGACCUGUUCACCGGACGUGCUACCUGUCCCAGACCUGCUAUUUUCAACUCUCUAGAGACAGCAGGAGCAGUAGAGAUACUCUUAAUGAUCGGCUAUGAAAAGCCAACUGACAUUUACUCCUGAGGUGCUGACUUGUUGCACCCUCGACAACAACUGUGAUUAUUAUUAUUUGGCCAUGCUGGUCAUUUAUGAACAUUUGAACAUCUUGGCCAUGUUCUGUUAUAAUCUCCAACAGGCACAGCCAGAAGAGGACUGGCCACCCCUCAUAGCCUGGUUCCUCUCUAGGUGUCUUCCUAGGUUUUGACCUUUCUAGGGAAUUUUUCCUAGCCACCGUGCUUCUACACCUGCAUUGCUUGCUGUUUGGGGUUUUAGGCUGGGUUUCUGUACAGCACUUGAAGAUAUCAGCUGAUGUAAGAAGGGCUAUAUAAAUACAUUUGAUUUGAUUUAAACAGAGUAACAGCAGCGUAAAAAUAUGGGUGGGGGGUUGGGGUCAAUGCAAACAGUCUGGGUAGCCAUUUGGUUAGCUGUUCAGGAGUCUUAUGGCUUGGUGGUAGAAGCUGUUAAGAAGCCUUUUGGACCUAGACUUGGCACUCCAGUACCGCUUGCCGUGCGGUAGCAGAGAGAAUAGUCUAUGACGAGGGUGGAUGGAGUCUUUGGCAAUUUCUAGGGCCUUUCUCUGACACCGCCUGGUAUAGAGGUCCUAGAUGGCAGGAAGCUUGGUCCCAGUGAUGUAUUAGGCUGUACGCACUACCCUCUGUUAGGGCUGGGCGAUAUAUCAAGUUUUUUAGAUAUAUUCAAGUUUAUGUUUUAGCGCGAUAUGGAAAAUGCCUGUAUCGCAAGAAUCAACGUUCUGUUAUAAUGUUGUAACGUUUUACAAAUGCAGCCUCUCACUGUCAGCCCAAUGUCGAAUCAUGUCCCAAUUACGUGACAACACGUGCACAGAGGUCAUCCACCCAUCACAACCCUAGACAACCUUUCACAAAUAGUAACCACGCCGGAAAGUGUAGCGAAGGUAAAAGUUCCACCAAAAUGGAAAGUGAGUGGGCCAGCUCAGCCUCUCGUGAGGAUGAAAUCAUCCCCGAAAAGGGCAACAAUGUUUUUUCAGUAAUAUAGAAGUGGUUCGGGUUUAAGAGGUCUGAUGUUCAGCAAACGAAUGUCCUGUGCAAAAUGUGUUGAAAGACAAUUAGAACGAAACGCCUUCAACCAACAACCCCUUCAAUCACCUGCAACUGAAACACGCCGGUGGAAUGUGUGAGACUACGCAUUGCCGCUUCCAGUCGCCCGAUUCCCAAAACGUCUGCUAAAAGACUACCAUAGCCACAUCCUUUUCAAACGUAAUCCCUUAUGACAAGAAAAGUUUGAGGUGGAAGGAGAUAAUGGAUGCAGUGACCUAUUACAUAGCGAAAGAUAUUGUAGCGACCCGCACAGACAGCUGUGUGUUAUGUGUUAGGCUAGUAGGUGGUUGCGUUGUACUGACCAGCACCCAGUGUUCGCGGUGUCUGACAUUUUUUUAUAUUUUUUUAUUUAUUUAACCUUUAUUUAACCAGGUAGGCUAGUUGAGAACAAGUUCUCAUUUGCAACUGCGACCUGGCCAAGAUAAAGCAUAGCAGUGUGAACAGACAACAACACAGAGUUACACAUGGAGUAAACAAUAAACAAGUCAAUAACAUGGUAGAAAAAAAGAGAAUCUAUAUACAAUGUGUGCAAAAGGCAUGAGGUAGGCAAUAAAUCGAAUAAUUACAAUUUAGCAGAUUAACACUGGAGUGAUAAAUCAUCAGAUGAUCAUGUGCAAGAAGAGAUACUGGUGUGCAAAAGAGCAGAAAAGUAAAUAAAUAAAAGCAGUAUGGGGGGUGAGGUAGGUAAAUUGGGUGGGUAGUUUACAGAUGGACUAUGUACAGCUGCAGCGAUCGGUUAGCUGCUCGGAUAGCAGAUUUUUAAAGUUGUUGAGGGAGAUAAAAGUCUCCAACUUCAGAGAUUUUUGCAAUUCGUUCCAGUCGCAGGCAGCAGAGAACUGGAAGGAAAGGCGUCCAAAUGAGGUUUUGGCUUUAGGGAUGAUCAGUGAGAUACACCUGCUGGAGCGCGUGCUACGGGUGGGUGUAGCCAUCGUGACCAGUGAAUGAUUGACAUGUCAAUCAACCUGCUAUCUGCCAAUCACGGGAAUGCCUGGAAUGUUCUGAUGCCGGGCAUCCUUGCGGUUGGCGGAGUGGCGUGGAGGGGGGUUGGGCAGGGGGAUGGAGCAUUGGAAGUUAAGACCAAGUUUAGCCUUUGUUCUCUCUCAUACGUCUGGGCUUCACAAGAGAAGGUCAUGAUUGGCUUGUGGGUUAUCUGUCCUUCAUUUGGCGUGGGCUACGGCCAAACAGUAGCCUGUGUAAAGUUGGUUUAAUAAACCGUCAAUUCGCAAACUCAAUCCUCUGUCUGGACAAUUGUUCAUUUAUGAUCUAGUCAGGUCAUUACAAUAUGGUUCCAAUCUUUACAGUAGAAAAGCCAGGCUUAAAAAGCCGUUAUUUACAGUUGACCACAAAUAUCAGCUGCCAAGCCACAAGUAUUUCACGGAAGAAGCCCUGCCGCGAUUAUAUACUGCUACCCGCGAAAGAGUCGCAGAGAAGCUGGCUAGUGUUUCUUAUUUUUCCACCACAGCUGAUCUAUGGUCGAGCAGAACGUCAGAGCCACACCUAAGUUUGACAUUCCACUACAUAAAUGAAGACUGGAAAUUGCAAAAUGUCUGCCUCCAGACGUCUUACUUCCUCGAUGAUCAUACGGGUGAAGUAAAAGCCCAGGGCCUCAAAGAUUCUGGCAUCGUGGAAGAUGAGCGAAUACCGACAGGUGUGCGUGACAACUGACAGCAGGAGCAACAUGAUAAAAGCAUUGCGCUUGAACAACUGGACCCGCCUGCAGUGCUUUGGGCACAGGCUUCACCUCACCAUCGGUAAGUGUGACAUUUGAUAAUUAAAGUGCAUUCAAAAAUGUUAUGUUCAGGCCAGCUGUAGGCUAAUGUGUUAGUAGUUGUGUCAUUCUGCCAAUCCAAUAGCAAAUAACCACAGGCUGUUUUAAUUAUAACAACAAAUUAACUAAAUUAAUACAUUUUCAAUCAAAAUUAUUACAUAAAUUACAUAUUCAAAUAGCUAGUGGUCAAACAUUUGUAAGCAAUAGAAUAGACGUGUGGGUGUGUGUUGUUCAUUUGUUUGGCACAAAUAAUUAAUAUAUUUUGUAUAUUAAUAAAGAUAAUUCAGUUAAGAAUUAUGUCUUGGCCUUUUUUAAUUUGUUUAGAGAAAAACAAGAAAUCGAGAUAUAUAUUGUGAAUCGUCCAAAUAUUUGAAAGAAAUUGAGAUAUUACCUUUAGGCCAUUUCGCCCCCAGCCCUACUACCCUCUGUAGUGCGUUGCAGUCGGAGGCCGAGCAGUUGCCAUACCAGACUAGAGGUCGACCGAGUAUGAUUUUUCAACGCCGAUACCGAUACCGAUUAUUGGAGGACCAAAAAAGCCGAUACCGAUUAAUCAGACAAUUUUUUAAAAUUUAUUUGUAAUAAUGACAAUUACAACAUUACUGAAUGAACACUUAUUUUAACUUAAUAUAAUGCAUCAAUAAAAUCAAUUUAGCCUCAAAUAAAUAAUGAAACAUGUUCAAUUUGGUUUAAAUAAUGCAAAAACAAAGUGUUGGAGAAGAAAGUAAAAGUGCAAUAUAAGAAAGCUAACGUUUAAGUUCCUUGCUCAGAACAUGAGAACAUAUGAAAGCUGAAGGUUUCUUUUAACAUGAGUCUUCAAUAUUCCCAGGUAAGAAGUUUUAGGUUGUAGUUGUUAUAGGAAUUAUAGGACUAUUUCUCUCUAUACCAUUUGUAUUUCAUUAAGCUUUGACUAUUGGAUGUUCUUAUAGGCACUUUAGUAUUGCCAGUGUAACACACACCUACACACAGGUCAGGGCCACACACAAACACAUAUGGGUGUCCAGACAUUACUGUACUGCGAUAAGGGUUAGCUACAUAUAAGGGUUAGUUACAUAUUUGAUAUUUCUAUGUGUCAUAUAGGAAUGCAGCUUCUUUUUGUAAAAUCUCUUUUUCUCUCUCACUCUUUCUCUCUGUCUUUCUCUAGGCUGUGGCUCUGUACUUUCACUCUCUGUCUCUGUGGGCGCUGUUCUAUUCCUACAUCUCUCCAUCUUCUCCAAUGAGGUCCUGCACUCCUUCCCACACAGCUACUACAUGCAGUGGCUUAACAGAUCUCUUAUACAUGGUAAACACACACAAGCCCCUACAUGAACAUACUCACAUAGAUAGUUACGCUGACACACAUUGUCAGACCCACCUAAUGUAUGCUGACAUUUUGUACGUGGUUUGAGGUCCUCUGCUGUUGAAAGAUUAUCUUAGUGCGCAUGCUUCACAUAUUUUAUUUUUAUUCCUAUUGAAUUUGUUCAGAGAAAAAUGACAGUCCACCCCAGGUUACAAGGGUGCAAAUAAGACCUUUACUCAGUGAUGAUGAUAAGACAGAUAUGAUAUGAGCUCCAGCAGAUAUGAGCUCCUCAGAACCUCAACUUCUAAAACGGACUGUUAGUGAAGUUGAAUCAGAAGACAAUAGCAUGUAGACAGAACAGGAGGCUGCUAAUAAUUGCUGGAAUGGAGUGAAUGGAAUGAUAACAAAUAUAUGACAACUAUGUGUUUGAUGUGCUCGACACUAGAGGUUGACCGAUUUAAUCGGCAUGGUCAGGGUAUAUGCAACAGUUUGGGCUCGUUGUGAACUAUGAACUAAUUUGCCAGAAUUUUACAUAAUUAUGACAUGACAUUGAAAGUUGUGCAGUGUAUCAGCAAUAUUUAGACUUAGGGUUGCCACCUGUUCGAUAAAAUACGUAACGGUUCCGUAUUUCACUGAAAGAAUAAACGUUUUGUUUUCUAAAUUAUUGUUUCCGGAUUUGACCAUAUUACUGACCAAAGGCUCAUAUUUCUGUGGUUAUUAUUUUAUAAUUAAGUCUAUGAUUUGAUAGAGCAGUCUGACUGAGUGGUGGUAGGCAGCAGCAGGCUCGUAAACAUUCAUUCAAACAGCACUUGACUGCGUUUGCCAGAAGCUCUUAGCAACGCUUGAAUCACAGCUCUGUUUUUUCUGUUGUUUUUUUUCAAGGCUAUCAACUCCCGAGAUUAGGCUGGCAAUACUAAAGUGCCUAUAAGAACAUCCAAUAGUCAAAGGUAUAUGAAAUACAAAUGGUAUAGAGAGAAAUAGUCGACACAUCAUAAUUCCUAUAAUAACUACAACCUAAAACUUCUUAACUGGAAAUAUUGAAGAACUGGGAAUAUUGAACCACCAGCUUUCAUAUGUUCUCAUGUUCUGAGCAAGGAACUUAAACAUGAGCUUUUUUACAUGGCACAUAUUGCACUUUUACUUUAUUCUCCAACACUGUGUAUUUGCAUUAUUUAAACCAAAUUGAACAUGUUUCAUUAUUUAUUUGAGACUAAAUAGAUUUUAUUUAUGUAUUAUAUUAAGUUAAAAUAAGUGUUCAUUGUUCAUUCAUUAUUUUUGUAAUUGUCAUUAUUACAAAUAUAAAUAUAAAAAUCGGCCGAUUAAUCGGUAUCGGCAUUUUUUGGUCCUCCAAUAAUCGGUAUCUGUCACGCCCUGACCUUAGAGAGCCUUUUUAUUUUUCUAUUUGGUUAGGCCAGGGUGUGUUUAGGGUGGGCAUUCUAGUUUUUCGUUUUCUAUGUUGGCCUGGUAUGGUUCCCAAUCAGAGGCAGCUGUCUAUCGUUGUCUCUGAUUGGUGAUAAUUUUUAGGCAGCCUUUUCCCACCUGUUGUUUGUGGGAUCUUGUUUUUGUGUAGUGCCUGUGAGCACUCCAUUUCUUCACGGUUUGUUUUUUUCUUUAUUGUUUUCUGGUUUGUUUGUUUCUUUAUUGUUUUCUGGGAGUUUCAUUUAAAUAAACAUGUGGAACUCUACGCACGCUGCGCCUUGGUCCAAUCAUUCUAACGAUUGUGACAGUAUCGGCAUUGAAAAAUCAUAAUCGGUCGACCUCUACUCAAUACCAUUCAAUUUAUUCCGUUCCAUCUAUUACUAUGGAGGCAGACGGUAGCCUAGCGGUUAAGAGCGUUGGGCCAGUAACCAAAAGGUCACUGGUUCAAAUCUCAGUGCCGUCAAGGUGGAAAAAAAUCUGCUGUUCUGAACUUGAGCAAGGCAGUUAACAACUGCUCCCCGGUCGCCAAUGAUGAGGACGUCGAUCAAGGCAGCCACCCGCAGCCACCCAACCAGUUAAAAGCGGAAGACACAUUUCACUUGAAUGCAUUCAGUUGUGCAACUGAUUAGGUAUCCCCUUUCCCUUCGAGCCUGUGCUCCCCAAUUAAGGUAGAGAGAUAAAGCCUUUCACUGUCUAUAACACUGUCUGUCCCCAUCUCUAAAUGCAGGACUGUGGAAUCUAGUCUUCCUCUUCUCCAACCUCUCCUUGGUCUUCCUCCUGCCCUUUGCCUACUUCUUCACUGAGUCUGAGGGCUUCGCUGGAUCCAAAAAUGGUGUGAUGGCCCGUCUGUAUGAGACAGCAGUAGUCCUCUUCCUCCUGACCCUGCUGGUACUGGGGAUGGUGUGAGUGGCAUCAGCCAUACUUGAUGAUAAUAUGGCCAGUCUUUACGUAUGCCUCUGGGAUUAUCACACAUGUUCAGCAUCACAGGAAGCCUACUGGUCAAACCAAAGCUGCUGGAGGACCUUGACGAGACAUUGAGUUGUGCUGAGUUUGAAGAGGCCUCUUUACCCAGGAAACUUACUAGUUAGUCCCAUUACAUAACCAGGGUUGGGUAGGUUACUUUUGUUGGGUUCUGAGAAUAUGAAAUGUUACUUAUUCAUGUCACUGAUGGAGUGCUAAGGUUGAGGGUCUACAACAGAAGUUAAGGGUUAUAGGAGGAAGGUAUAUACUGUGUGCAACUAAGCUUGGAAUGUGUUGAGUGCAGGGAUGCGAUUACAUGUGGCAGACAUUGAUAAGGGGAGACGGGUGGAGAUCUUAGAAACUAACAAUGUCACUGAGGGAGAGAUGGUAAUGUAUAACAUUUACAUUAUGUCAGUGUAUGUAAUUGUUAGCCAUCAGAGAUCCUCUGGGAGGAGAAGAGACACAGUCUGGUAUCAAUAACCAUGACAGCCUUGAGUUGGGGUGGAGUGAGCACUUUGGGGUAGACACCAGUCUCAAUGUCAACAGUGAAGAGGCGACUCCGGGAUGCUGGCCUCUAGGUUCCUCUGUACAAUGUCUGUGUUCUUUUGCCCAUCUUAAUCUUUUAGUUUUAUUGGCCAGUCUGAGAUAUGGCUUUUUCUUUGCAACUCUGCCUAGAAGGCCAGCAUCCCGGAGUCACCUCUUCACUGUUGAGGUUGAGACUGGUGUUUUGCGGGUACUAUUUAAUGAAGCUGCCAGUUGAGGACUUGUGAGGCAUCUGUUUCUCAAACUAGACACACUAAUGUACUUGUUCUCUUGCUCAGUUUUGCACCGGGGUCUCCCACUACUCUUUCCAUUCUGGUUAGAGCCAGUUUGCGCUGUUCUGUGAAGGGAGUGGUACACAGCGUUGUACGAGAUCUUCAGUUUCUUGGCAAAUUCUCGCAUGGAUAGCCUUCAUUUCUCAGAACAAAAAUAGACUGACGAGUUUCAGAAGAAAGGUCUUUGUUUCUGGCCAUUUUGAGCCUGUAAUCGAACCCACAAAUGCCGAUGCACCAGAUACUCAACUAGUCUAAAGAAGGCCAGUUUUAUUGCUUAUUUAAUCAGAACAACAGUUUUCAGCUGUGCUAACAUAAUUGCAAAAGGGUUUUCUAAUGAUCAAUUAGCCUUUUAAAAUGAUAAACUUGGAUUAGCUAACACAACGUGCCACCAAAACACAGGAGUGAUGGUUGCUGAUAAUGGGCCUCUGUACGCCUAUGUAGAUAUUCCAUUAAAAAACAGCCGUUUCCAGCUACAACAGUCAUUUACAACAUUAACAAUGUCUACACUGUAUUUCUGAUCAUUUUGAUGUUAUUUUAAUGGACAAAAAUGUGCUUUUCUUUCAAAAUUAAGGACAUUUCUAAGUGACUCCAAACUAUUGAAUGGUGGUGUACAUAUAAAAUAAAAAUGAAUAGAUGCUUUUUCUAAACAAUCAUUGAAUAUUUCUCCUUAUGAUCUUGAUGAUUCAGGGAUCACCCGGUUUGAUCUGCUGGGAGACUUUGGUUGGUAUAUCUGGCUGGGAAACUUCGUCUUCCUGUAUAACGUACUGUUUGCCGGGCUGACCUCUGCGUGUCUAAUCAACACUCUCACAUGGACCGUACAUAGGGAACUCAUCAGAGCAUUUGGUAUUUGGGAGGUCACACAAACAUACACAGUUACGCAUACAUGUACGUAUGCUUGCUCGUACAUACACACACACACGCAUGCACACUUACACACGUUGUGAUCGGCUGAUUCACUAAUAUGGUCCUCUCUCUCUUCCAAGGGCUGCAUAUACCGCGAUUGACUGUGUCCCGCUCCACCAUCCCACUCAGGCUCCUAUUGGCUAAUGGACUCGCAAAGAUUCAGUGACACUUGAACAAGCUAAAGACCUGGGCUUACCAAAGUGAGCUUGCCAAAGAGCAGUGUCCCCAAAUAUUUGUCUGUAGUAAACUCUCUUUGAAAGAGAGAAGGGGAUUGACCUGUUUGCUGAUGGACGACUGGUGAUCCUGUUACUACUAAAAUGAGAAGAGGAGGAAACUCUGGACUUGGACCUCAGACAUGAUUAUACUUCAGAGUAUAGGUACAAGACAGAACCUGAGCCCUAGGACCAUACGUCAGGACUACCGGGCAUGACGACUCCCUGCUGCCCCCAGUCCGCCUGGCCUUGCUGCUAUUCCAGUUUCAACGGUUCUGCCUGCGGUUACGGAACCCCUACCUGUCCCAGACCUGCUGUUUUCAACUCUUAAUGAUCGGCUAUGAAAAGCCAACAGAUUUAUUCCUGAUUAUUAUUUGACCAUGCUUGUCAUUUAUGAACAUUUUGAAAAUCUUGGCUCUCUCUAAUCUUCUCCUUCUCUCUUUCUUUCUCUCGGAGGACCUGAGCCCUGGGACCAUACGUCGGGACUGCCGGGCGUGGUGGCUCCUUGCUGUCCCCAGUCCGCCUGGCCUUGCUGCUGUUCUGCCUGCGGUUAUGGAACCGCCACCUGUCCCAGACCUGUUGUUUUUCAACUCUUAAUGAUCGGCUAUGAAAAGCCAACUGAAUAUUAUUCAUGAUUAUUAUUUGACCAUGCUUGUCACUUAUGAACAUUUUUGAACAUCUUGGCAUAGUUCUGUUAUAAUCUCCACCCGGCACAGCCAGAAGAGGACUGGCCACUCCUCAUAGCCUGGUUCCUCUCUAGGUUUCUUCCUAGGUUUUGGCCUUUCUAGGGAGUUUUUCCUAGCCACCGUGCUUCUACACCUGCAUUCUAGCUGUUUGGGGUUUUAGGCUGGGUCUCUGUACAGCACUUCGAGACAUUAGCUGAUGUACGAAGGGCUAUAUAAAAUAAACUUGAUUGAUUGAUCGACAUCCCCGGUGACUUUUGCUAAAAUGUCUGCCAAUCUCAAAACAUCUUGAUCCUUGACUGGAAAGAACUCCACUGUCACGCCCUGAUCUGUCUUCACCUCCUCCAGGUGUCACUUAUUUUCCCCAGUGUAUUUAUCCCUGUGUUUCCUGUCUCUCUGUGCCAGUUUGUCUUGUAUGUUUUUAAGUCAACCAGCGUGCUUUCCCGUGCUCCUGUUUUCUAUUCUCUUUUUCUAGUCUCCCCGGUUAUGACCCUUGCCUUUUUUUUCUGGACUCCGUACCCGCCUUCCUGAACCUUCUGCCUGCCCUGACAUCGAGCCUGUCUGCCACUCUUUACCUCUUGGACUCAGAGACUCAGAAUCUGGUUUUGGCAUUUUGCCUGUCCAUGCCCAUUCUCUUGCCUACACCUUUUGGAUUAUAAAUAAACUACAAAGACUCUAACCAUCUGCCUCCUGUGUCUGCAUCUGGGUCUCGCCUUGUGCCCUUAUAUCCACAAGAACUUCAGCUCUGUGUACUUUUCUAGAUAUCGCUGUCUUUUCAUCUCUCUCUCUCCCUUUUUGCCUAUUGCGCUCUUGCACUUAUUACCUUGUGUAUUAUUCAAAAGAUUUAUUCUGCUGUGUCAUCUUGUGAACAUAAUUUCCCUUCUUACUGUUGUCCUCUAAUGGAAUGUUUAGGAAAUAAGCAGAUGUCUGCAUGGUGUCAAAAUAAGAGUAAAUCAGUUAACAGUAAUAAAAGUACAUUAACUCUACUUCAAUGCAUAUGGCCAAUUCUACUAUAUUACUCUUUUUAGUAUAUCAUUUUCAUUUACAUAUUUGUAUCACAACCUAUUUAAUAAGGACAUUUUAUUGUUGGAUUGAAAAGUUGGACAACAGUCUUCUAUGAAGAGAACAGAAACAAACACUGGAAACAAUGGCCUGGAACUUAAGACCAAGUUAAACUGUGAUGUGUGUGUUUGAAAAAGACUGUUUGUGUGUGUGUGUUUGAGUGCGUGCGUGCGUGGAUCUGUCUGUCAGUGUACAUUCAAUUUUUGCACAGCGUGUUGUGUACAUGCAUGGAGAUUUUUCUCCAAUAUUUUUCCAAGUUCCUUUCAUUUUGUAAAUUACGUUUUUCAAUUAUGAGUUUGUGUCCAUAGAUUUAUGUUGACCUCAAGUGAAUGUUCAUAUGUUAUUGUCUCACAGGGGUAAAAACACUCCUCAACCUCUCCUUAAUCAUACAAAUGUCAAAAUGUGUUGUCAUUUCAAUGCCAGAACAGUCAGCUACUACAUGUUCAAUUGUCUGUAUGUCUUGUUAAACUGUAUUCUUUACGAAGAUGUAUGAUUGUUAGCUAGCUAUAAAUGUGAACUCUGGUUAAAAGUAUAUGAAGAUUGUUUAAAACUGUGAUUAUCUAAACUGAAGAGUUUUGUAAGGACUCCUCUACUGGAACAAUACAUGUUUUUUUCAGUUUGUUUCUUACACCAUUGCUGAUUGUUUUGAUUUGAGCAUAGCACACCCACUGAGAAAAUAUAUUGAUUUGGCAACCCUGUUUCACUCCAAUCUGUAAGUUUGCCUGAAGUUUUUAGAGCCACAAAAGUAGGCUAGUCUUUAUACAAAUCCCUUCUCCCACACCAUCUGUUAUGUGUCUAUGUACCAAAUGGUAUGGUAAAGAUAAGUCUGUCAUCAUUUUAAAUAGUUUCUAUCUUCAAUUGUGUAAUUGAGGGGCUGCUAGGGCUACACAAAGAUGGCAUAUGUGUACUCAACCUAACAUAACUUUUUAAGCAGCUAUUUAACAGAUUUAGAUUUUGUUGUGGAGUGAUCACUUUCAACAUAACAAGGACCAUCGUACACGUUCAUGGUUGAUAGGGCCUGGGCCAUAAAAUAAGCAUAGGCCUAUUUAAAACUGAUAAAAGGUUCUCUGUGUGAUCCUCUGUAGCUCAAUUGGUACAGCUGGCGCUUGCAACGCCAGGAUAGGGGGUUAGAUUCCAGUGCUUGACUUGGGCGGAAGCUCAUCAGAGCUGAGUAGCGGCACCUCAAAUGUUCUACUGCUUAAGCUCCUGUUCCUGUUAUAGAAUAUUAGCUCAAACGUAUUGUGGAGCUCCUGCACCUAAAUAUAAACAGUACCAACACCCAAAAUGAGUACCGGCACCUAUUUCAGUCUAAGUCAAGUACUUAGAAUGUAUGCACACGUGAAUGUAAAUCGUUUUGGGUAAAAGCGUCUGCUAAAUGGCAUAUAUUAUUAUAUAUAUAUAUAUUUUUUUUUAUUCUGAAAAAUGAUGUAUAUGUUAAUAUUGUACGGUCAUUGAGCAUUUAAUAAUAAAAACUGCUGAACGUG